UCAUAAAUGCUGGGAUCGAAAUUGGUCACAGCCUCUUUGCCGUUGCACUUGAUAGCAGCCUUAUCAUACGCCCUUGCAGCUUCAAUCUCAGUAUCAAACAAGCCCAAAUACACAUACUUUUUGCCUAAAAAUUGACCCAUUCUAGCUUCCCAUCUUCCACACUUGUGCAAGGUCACACCCCUAUAUUUGGAGCUUCCUCUGGGAAAACCGGUGCUUUGUCGGCGAAGUACAUGCACAAACUCUUCUUUAGUAAGGUUGCUCAUCUGUUUUAAGUCUUCCUCAUAAUCUUCAAUACCAAAAUUUAUAUCUGCCUCCACUCCUCUAAACUUGAUAGCUGCCCUAUCGUAUGCACGAGCAGCUGCAUGUGCAGUGUCAAAUCCACCUAGAUAGACUUGCUUCCCACAAUCCCAUAUAUGAGACUCCCAGCGGCCGGUCCUCCGGUAGUAGGUGACACCGCGAUACUGAGAGCUUCUCGACCGGGGUCCGCGCCGGCUCUUUUUUAACGGUUGCGAGACCUCAACGGAUUUCGGAGAAGCAAGUGACUCCGACUGGNCUCCGACUGGCAAAACUUGCCUCCGCCCCAGUGAGCCCGAGGAAAUCCAGCUCCACUACCUCCUCCUCCACCGCUACCACUGCCACCAGAUGUUGCCCCCAUUUCUUGGUCCUCAACCGGAAAGAACUGCCGGGUCACAGGUGGGUCACUCUCCAUGGAGUCAUCAUGGGCGACAGAGAACCCGAAUAUCUUGCUAGUACGCUGCUAGUACGCUUCUUGAUUCUACCCCUCUCACCACUACCAUCUUCUUCGGAUCCAUCCUCGAUUACCACAGCAGAGGAGCUAGAAUUAGACACAGAUCCGACGCGUUUUCC
This 867-nucleotide unclassified non-coding RNA is filed under the name Hevea brasiliensis (rubber tree). Lineage: Eukaryota; Viridiplantae; Streptophyta; Magnoliopsida; Malpighiales; Euphorbiaceae. The record is from RNAcentral.